GGGGUGAGAGGCUGCAGAGGUUGCCUGGGGCCUGCUGGGACUUGACCUAGCUGACAGUGGGCACCAUUGAGAAAUGUGCAGUGGGAAGUGGCGGGGCCACGUUUGCAUUCUAGGAGGAUGUCCUGGCAGCCGGGGAGGGUGGUCUGCAGGGGCCAGAGUGGAGGCCGGAAGGCCAGCGAGGGGUUGUCAAAUGUGGCGUCCAAAGCAAUGCCUCCAACUGCCAGCGGAGAGAAGUCUCAUUAGCAAAAAGAAGGAGGAAUUGCUCCUGCCACUUAGACUGCAAAAAACCCAAGUUCAACAUAAAAUAAAAUAGACUUUUUAUUUUCUGAUUUUGCAUUUUCUAUUAUCUGUCCUUCUUUUGCUGUUCCGUGUCAUCUCCUUGUUUCCUCUCUGGUUUUCCAUGAGUUCUUUGCAUACUUUGUUUUCAAUUUUAAAAUGCAUAUCUUUCCGUAUAAAGUUAAUGGCCCUGCCUCCCUGCAGCUGGGGAGACCUGAGUUCAAAUCCCAGCUCUGCUGUUUGCCGCCUGCUGUUCCUUCUUUGUGAAAGGGGAGGUUUCAGUCCCUCUCCGAAAGGGGCAUGUGAAGAGGAGGUCAUGCCCAGCAGAUAUUUACGAGGAUGUCUAAGACAUGGGAACUAGGACGAUUGUUUUCAAUAUUAUGCUUCUUUAAAAGGCUGUUUUAGCUGUUUAAGCAAUCCAGGCAAAGAUAAGGUGCUGAGUUCUAUGAAGAGAACACAGAGAGAUUAAUUCCAGAGAUACGUCAGGGGUGAGGACGACCUCACCUAACAGGUGACUGUCAUGCCUGUGAGAAAAUACCUUUUCCAAAUGGUGCCGUCCACUUCUAUCUCUCCACGGAAGGAUGGUGAAGUCUUCCACCUGGAGCUCCUGAGAGAACAGUGGGCUUAGUGGAAACACCACACACCUGGCUGGGUGUUUUCAGGUGGAGACGCUGAGGGCUGUUUCUUUCCAGUCCUGGAAGACGCGGAAUUUCUUCUCGGCAGCUUUGCUCGGCCUGCGUCUGAGCGAUGAGGAAACUGAGACACAAAAAUGGGGGAUGACUUGCCCAGGAAGCUGGACCACAUCACACAACGUUACUAUUGUAAUACCUUUAUCAAGAGUACCUCACAUGGCAACAAUGGGAGAAAAAUCAUACAGCUGGCUGCGUCAGGGAGAAAAGGAAGGGUGCCCCGGAGGCCACGGGAGACCAAGACAAUCCCUCUGUGGCUCAGAGUCUGAUGAAGAAACUGAGGCACAGGGAUGUGAAGUAACUGGCCCAAGUG
Molecule: long non-coding RNA, 1278 nt
Filed under: Homo sapiens (human)
Lineage: Eukaryota; Metazoa; Chordata; Mammalia; Primates; Hominidae
Description: HSALNT0235004
Source: RNAcentral